GCAGCCGUGACUGUCUGGUUACGGCGUUCGCUUUGUAAGCGAAUGAUCCUGGGUUCGAUUCCCAUCUGCUCCA
Culex pipiens (northern house mosquito) is the source of this 73-nucleotide transfer RNA. It matches the Rfam family "tRNA". Rfam says of the family: Transfer RNA (tRNA) molecules are approximately 80 nucleotides in length. Their secondary structure includes four short double-helical elements and three loops (D, anti-codon, and T loops). Further hydrogen bonds mediate the characteristic L-shaped molecular structure. tRNAs have two regions of fundamental functional importance: the anti-codon, which is responsible for specific mRNA codon recognition, and the 3' end, to which the tRNAs corresponding amino acid is attached (by aminoacyl-tRNA synthetases). tRNAs cope with the degeneracy of the genetic code in two manners: having more than one tRNA (with a specific anti-codon) for a particular amino acid; and 'wobble' base-pairing, i.e. permitting non-standard base-pairing at the 3rd anti-codon position. NCBI's taxonomy places the organism in Eukaryota, Metazoa, Arthropoda, Insecta, Diptera, Culicidae. The record is from Rfam.